Molecule: ribosomal RNA, 253 nt
Filed under: uncultured bacterium
Lineage: Bacteria
Description: partial 16S ribosomal RNA
Rfam family: Archaeal small subunit ribosomal RNA
Source: RNAcentral
UACCAGCACCCCGAGUGGUCGGGACGAUUAUUGGGCCUAAAGCAUCCGUAGCCGGUUCUACAAGUCUUCCGUUAAAUCCACCUGCUCAACAGAUGGGCUGCGGAGGAUACUAUAGAGCUAGGAGGCGGGAGAGGCAAGCGGUACUUAGUGGGUAGGGUUAAAAUCCGUUGAUCCAUUGAAGACCACCAGUGGCGAAGGCGGCUUGCCAGAACGCACUCGACGGUGAGGGAUGAAAGCUGGGGGAGCAAACCGG